CGCUCUUCCCUUGCCGCAGAACCGCAGACUCGCGAUGGCUGUGCGGCUGUGACGCGGUGAUCUAAAUCAACUCCGGCCUCCCGUCGCUGUCGUCCACCUUCUAACAUCGCGCAUGGGGCGAUCUUGGCCGUCGCGGCACCCGGCACUAGUGCUGGCUUUGGGGUGGGAGGCCCUGCGCUACUGUCAGGCGAGUCAUGGGCUGCUCGAACUAGCGCCAGGCCACCAACGGCCAGGAGACUAGGAUGUCAUCAAGGACCAACUGUCCAUGGAAGAAGCAAGCAAGAGAAGAAAAUUUCCUAAGUAAAUUGCCAUGCGAGCCGGCGGCGGCGAAGUGCUGAGCAGGCGGCGGGGCGGGUAUGGCGCGACGAGCGGGGCCGCGGCCGUAGCGGCAUAGCGAGCAGGAAGGCCGCAACAGCCUCACAUCUGUUCAAGCUCGAGUUUGUCAGGUAGCUAGGAUCAUUUUACUCCCUCACAUCUAAAAUCAAACCUAUUCAAUUUGGUACAGGCCUGCGCAUCCCAUCCCCAACUCCGCAGUAGGCGCCCAGGCUCUGGUGGCUCAAGCUCCAAUCGUGGGGCCCCUUUAUCCGUGCCCUUGUCGAGGAGCUGCGGCUAACCGACGAUGGAGUCCCAAUCCUCUUGUCAGGCUCCACUGCUCCAACCCCAUCCAGAUGGUUCAUAUAUUUUCUUCCACGAGUGCUGCCAGUGUUUGCUUCAUGUACGCUCAGAUAAUUCACAAAGCUAGGAAACCUACUAAAGACAUUCCCGGAACAGUCACAUUGUAUUUUGUGAUAGAAAAGGAUUGUACACAACAAUGUAACUAAAUCAGAUAAAUCUAUUUGGAGAUUCCAUUUUUUAGAAAUUCCAACAUAUUUGAUGAUUGUACUAUUUUUAUGAGCAAACUUUUAUGCCUGAGUUUGCUAGCUCGCGCAGCAGUGCGAUGAUUUCUGCUAAUUUUAGUAGUUUCCAUC
Long non-coding RNA from Panicum hallii, 968 nucleotides. RefSeq lists it as uncharacterized. The transcript has 4 exons. The record is from RefSeq and is a predicted model, not a curated record. Lineage: Eukaryota; Viridiplantae; Streptophyta; Magnoliopsida; Poales; Poaceae.